UCUUUCCAGUCCCCUACAAGCUGCAGUCUGGGAUACUGCAAUGAGUGAAGGAUGGGAUUUGUCCUCACCAAGUGUGGUCCAUGCAGGCAACAGAGAGCCUUCUGGUGCCUGGUGAGCUUUGCUGGCUGGAGAAAGUCUACAGCAUCCUGCAAGCAACCUGUUUGGAACCUCCCCAACAAUAUGGUUCACACCGUCCACAUGAGGAGUAAUAUCAGUAUUUCCAUCCUGAAGACAGGAAGCAGAGACUGAUCUCUAAAGAGCUGAGCCACUUUAAUAGGUUUGGAGCAUACAUCUCUCCUUAAAUUGUGAGGGAUUCAGCAGCAGACUAACUGAAACUAGGUGGGAUAGAGUGAGCAAUGUGUGUUGCCCUGUACUCACAGGAAGUCAAAUGCAAGGUCCUUAUUCAACAAAAUUUUAAAUUUUUAUGUUUUGCUCUUCUGAGGAUUUUUUUAAAAGGUAUUCAAAGGCUUACCUAAAUCAGGACUGCUGUCAUAAGCAUGCUACUGUUUUUCAUAUACCUUGUAACUUGCUUUUGGUCAAGAAAAACUGCCGAAUCUCAUUGUAAUUUGGCCAAUUAGGUGUCAUAUGUCGGUACAUACAAAUGCACCACCUGACGAGGUGGUGAGGAACUCAGAUGUACAUUCAGCCCAGCUUUGACUAAGUCGACACCCUUCUGUUACCCCUUCUUCUUUGGAGCAGAGGGGGACUUAGAGAGCAGCACUCAUCGUACCGAUCAUAUUCAUGUCACGGCACGUCAUCCCCUCCUGCCAGUCUGUGGGCAGCUCUCCUGUCACAGGGCUACAAAAGCCUCCAGACAAACAAAUAUGUCUCUUGUAGAUGCUGCACUGAAGACCACAGGUCCAAAGCUUACCCUUAGCAAUCCACACAUUUCAGAAAUAGUUAAGGGAGAGCAAAAGGUUUUGUCCAAGCAACCUAUACAGAUGCAAAUACUUUGUUGCAUGAUUAAUAAGGUAUCUUGUUUUACCGUUUAAAAUUCAUCCGAAGUGUUCUUUUUCACAGUCAGAAUCAUCCACGACAAAAGUAUUUUUGAACAUAGCUAUAAGGGCUACACUUAAGUUCAGAGUGUUGUGGCUUCUUUGUUUUGCUUUGUUUUCAAAAAAGAUCGAUGAACACAAUUUUCAUAAACGGAGAGUUAACAACCAUAACACACGUACAAAAACAAGAUAGCAGUCUCAUACUGGAAAUAUUUCUGCUUUCAUUUUUAUUU
Molecule: long non-coding RNA, 1228 nt
Filed under: Anas platyrhynchos platyrhynchos (common mallard)
Lineage: Eukaryota; Metazoa; Chordata; Aves; Anseriformes; Anatidae
Description: lncRNA (ENSAPLG00000026758.1)
Source: RNAcentral